Molecule: long non-coding RNA, 1253 nt
Filed under: Equus asinus (donkey)
Lineage: Eukaryota; Metazoa; Chordata; Mammalia; Perissodactyla; Equidae
Description: lncRNA (ENSEASG00005028437.1)
Source: RNAcentral
UGCUAGGUUUCACGCUUUGCAUAGCAAAGUGUAGUGGACUUAGCGUGGCAAAAAUGAGGCGUCGUCCCAGGAGCAAGCUCAGGUAGCCUUCCAUCCAUGAGCCAAUCUGCUAAUCCAGUGCCAGGUGCUGUCGAACACAUCAUUGUUGAAUAAAACCCAGUGUUUUGCCCUCCAGGAGCCUAAGGUCUGGUUUGCUGGAUAUCGAAAAUCCUGAUUAACUCUUACGUCGCCUAUAAAACUCCCAGCACACAAGUCGGUUCCCAACGCCUGGACGAUUAGCCCUGAGCUAACAUCUGCCGCCAAUCCUCCUCUUUUUGCUGAGGACGACUGGCCCUGAGCUAACAUCCAUGCCCAUCUUCCUCUACUUUCUAUGCGGGACGCCUACCACAGCAUGGUGUGCCUAAGCGGUGCCAUGUCCGCACCUGGGAUCCAAACCUGCGAACCCCGGGCCGCCGAAGUGGAACGUGCGAACUUAACUGCUGCGCCACAGGGCCAGCCCCCUGCGUUUCUAACAAGUUCUCAGGUGAUGAGUAUGCUGCUGGGGGAGGAACCACCAGCACCUGGUUUGUAAAUCAUUUUAUUGGAACACAGCCAUGUCAGAGACUGAAUGACCUGCAAGCCUGAAAUCUUUGCUCUCUGGCCCUUUAUAGAGAAAGUGUGCUUCCCCAUAAUAUAUAUGUGAUCAGUGCUGAGCAUUUUCUAUUGAGUUCAUAUUUUAUUCUCAAGAGCUCUUUUAUAUGUUAAGACAUUGCUUAACAAAUUAGCCCACAAAAGUAUGGUAUGGGGGAAUAGAUGCCUAUUUUGAAGUGUUAGGGAGUAUAACUAACAUGACACUUCUUUUAAGUCUUUUGUUUUUUCUAAAAGUAAUCUGAAUUUUUUAUUCCAGAAGCAUCAGUGUUUGGUUUAAUAUGAAACAUUUUUCCUCCUUAAUCUUUGAAUAAAGCUGAUGCUACUAAAUAUGUUGUAUUUAAUCCUGCUUUCACUGUGUUUGAGAAAUACGCUACUGAGAUUUGCAAUUUUUGGUCAUAAGUUUCAAAUAUUUGUUCUAUGCUUUGAAUUCAAAUCGUCAAUCUUUUUCUUUCCCCUGUCUUCUCUACCCCAAGAUUUUAUAUAUUCACUUAUAUUUUCUCUUAGUUUUUUUUUAUAUUGAGCUAUAAUUAAUGCAAUAUUUGUAUUGGAGUGUGGUAUGAAGAUUAUUUUUUCCUUUACACUUACUCCAGCACCAUUUAUUCAUUAAUUUAUCCUUUUCUUAU